This 448-nucleotide ribosomal RNA is filed under the name Pseudomonas sp. Z41. RNAcentral's name for it is "bacterial SSU rRNA". It matches the Rfam family "Bacterial small subunit ribosomal RNA", at positions 300 to 741 of the family's 1533-position model. The record is from RNAcentral. Lineage: Bacteria; Pseudomonadati; Pseudomonadota; Gammaproteobacteria; Pseudomonadales; Pseudomonadaceae.
AUGAUCAGUCACACUGGAACUGAGACACGGUCCAGACUCCUACGGGAGGCAGCAGUGGGGAAUAUUGGACAAUGGGCGAAAGCCUGAUCCAGCCAUGCCGCGUGUGUGAAGAAGGUCUUCGGAUUGUAAAGCACUUUAAGUUGGGAGGAAGGGCCAUUACCUAAUACGUGAUGGUUUUGACGUUACCGACAGAAUAAGCACCGGCUAACUCUGUGCCAGCAGCCGCGGUAAUACAGAGGGUGCAAGCGUUAAUCGGAAUUACUGGGCGUAAAGCGCGCGUAGGUGGUUUGUUAAGUUGGAUGUGAAAUCCCCGGGCUCANCCUGGGAACUGCAUUCAAAACUGACUGACUAGAGUAUGGUAGAGGGUGGUGGAAUUUCCUGUGUAGCGGUGAAAUGCGUAGAUAUAGGAAGGAACACCAGUGGCGAAGCGACCACCUGGACUGAUACU